UAAGUCGACCGCCUGGGGAGUACGGCCGCAAGGUUAAAACUCAAAUGAAUUGACGGGGGCCCGCACAAGCGGUGGAGCAUGUGGUUUAAUUCGAUGCAACGCGAAGAACCUUACCUGGUCUUGACAUCCACGGAAGUUUUCAGAGAUGAGAAUGUGCCUUCGGGAACCGUGAGACAGGUGCUGCAUGGCUGUCGUCAGCUCGUGUUGUGAAAUGUUGGGUUAAGUCCCGCAACGAGCGCAACCCUUAUCCUUUGUUGCCAGCGGUCCGGCCGGGAACUCAAAGGAGACUGCCAGUGAUAAACUGGAGGAAGGUGGGGAUGACGUCAAGUCAUCAUGGCCCUUACGACCAGGGCUACACACGUGCUACAAUGGCGCAUACAAAGAGAAGCGACCUCGCGAGAGCAAGCGGACCUCAUAAAGUGCGUCGUAGUCCGGAUUGGAGUCUGCAACUCGACUCCAUGAAGUCGGAAUCGCUAGUAAUCGUGGAUCAGAAUGCCACGGUGAAUACGUUCCCGGGCCUUGUACACACCGCCCGUCACACCAUGGGAGUGGGUUGCAAAAGAAGUAGGUAGCUUAACCUUCGGGAGGGCGCUUACCACUUUGUGAUUCAUGACUGGGGUGAAGUCGUAACAAGGUAACCGUAGGGGAACCUGCGGUUGGAUCACCUCCUU
This 671-nucleotide ribosomal RNA is filed under the name Escherichia coli. RNAcentral's name for it is "bacterial SSU rRNA". It matches the Rfam family "Bacterial small subunit ribosomal RNA", at positions 861 to 1532 of the family's 1533-position model. The record is from RNAcentral. Lineage: Bacteria; Pseudomonadati; Pseudomonadota; Gammaproteobacteria; Enterobacterales; Enterobacteriaceae.